AAAAAACCAGCAACGAGUUUCUUCUCAAGUGGUAUAAGGGACAAAAGUCAAAAAAACCAGAAAGGAUACUGCUUCCGGCUACACUCAGCAAGGAAACUGUGAGCCAGGCUGGUAAUGGGCUGUCUCAGUCUUCCAAGGGUGAAAACCUAGGGGAUCUAAAAGUUGCUUUGACAGGAUUGUCCAGAGAUUCCAGGGAGAACUGGAAGAGCAAAAUUGAGGAAGCAGGUGGACAGGUGCAUGCCAAGCUGAAGAAAGACACAGAUUGCUUAGUUGUAAUAGGGACGUGGAAUGAUCAAGAUUCUGAGAUAAAGAAGGCCAGGAGACUGAAAGUGUCAGUAGUCAGGGAGGAUUAUUUGGUGGAUAGUAUCAACAGAAAGAAAAAACUUCCUUUUGACUUGUAUAAAUUAGAAGCUAAUAGUGAGACUCAAAGCAUGAAAACUGUCAAAGUAAAAGGGAGGAGUGCGGUUCAUGAGUCAUCCAGAUUGCAAGAUACAGGACACAUUCUUGAGGAAAAGACCAGCAUUUAUAAUACGACUUUAAACAUGUCAGACCUCUCAAGUGGUAUUAAUAGUUACUACAUCCUUCAAAUUAUUGAAGAGGACAAAGGGUCAGACUGUUAUGUUUUUCGCAAAUGGGGUCGUGUUGGAAAUGAGAA
RNAcentral lists this unclassified non-coding RNA (655 nucleotides) under Hevea brasiliensis (rubber tree). Lineage: Eukaryota; Viridiplantae; Streptophyta; Magnoliopsida; Malpighiales; Euphorbiaceae. The record is from RNAcentral.